AGCAGCCGCGGUAAUUCCAGCUCCAAUAGCGUAUAUUAAAGUUGUUGCAGUUAAAAAGCUCGUAGUUGAACCUUGGGCCUGGUUGUUCGGUCCGCCUAACCGCGUGCACUGAUGCGACCGGGCCUUUCCUUCUGGCUAGCCUCAUGCCCUUUACUGGGUGUGUUGGGGAUCCAGGACUUUUACUUUGAAAAAAUUAGAGUGUUCAAAGCAGGCCUAUGCUCGAAUACAUUAGCAUGGAAUAAUAGAAUAGGACGGCGGUUCUAUUUUGUUGGUUUCUAGAGCCACCGUAAUGAUUAAUAGGGAUAGUCGGGGGCAUCAGUAUUCAAUUGUCAGAGGUGAAAUUCUUGGAUUUAUUGAAGACUAACUACUGCGAAAGCAUUUGCCAAGGAUGUUUUCAUUAAUCAGUGAACGAAAGUUAGGGGAUCGAAGACGAUCAGAUACCGUCGUAGUCUUAACCAUAAACUAUGCCGACUAGGGAUCGGACGGUGUUCAAUUUAUGACCCGUUCG
This 508-nucleotide ribosomal RNA is filed under the name uncultured Ascomycota. RNAcentral's name for it is "SSU rRNA". It matches the Rfam family "Eukaryotic small subunit ribosomal RNA", at positions 569 to 1082 of the family's 1831-position model. The record is from RNAcentral. Lineage: Eukaryota; Fungi; Ascomycota.